GACGAACGCUGGCGGCGUGCUUAACACAUGCAAGUCGAACGGAAAGGCCCUGCUUUUGUGGGGUGCUCGAGUGGCGAACGGGUGAGUAACACGUGAGUAACCUGCCCUUGACUUUGGGAUAACUUCAGGAAACUGGGGCUAAUACCGGAUAGGAGCUCCUGAUGCAUGGUGGGGGUUGGAAAGUUUCGGCGGUUGGGGAUGGACUCGCGGCUUAUCAGCUUGUUGGUGGGGUAGUGGCUUACCAAGGCUUUGACGGGUAGCCGGCCUGAGAGGGUGACCGGCCACAUUGGGACUACGAGACGGCCCAGACUCCUACGUGAGGCAGCAGUGGGGAGUAUGGCACAAUGGGCGGAAGCCUGAUGCAGCAGCGCCGCGUGCGUGAUGACGGCCUUCGGGUUGUAAACCGCUUUCGCCUGUGACGAAGCGUGAUUGACGGUAAUGGGUAAAGAAGCACCGGCUAACUACGUG
Molecule: ribosomal RNA, 468 nt
Filed under: uncultured bacterium
Lineage: Bacteria
Description: partial 16S ribosomal RNA
Rfam family: Bacterial small subunit ribosomal RNA
Source: RNAcentral